This 253-nucleotide ribosomal RNA is filed under the name uncultured bacterium. Its description in RNAcentral is "partial 16S ribosomal RNA". It matches the Rfam family "Bacterial small subunit ribosomal RNA", at positions 524 to 776 of the family's 1533-position model. The record is from RNAcentral.
UACGAAGGGGGCUAGCGUUGCUCGGAAUCACUGGGCGUAAAGGGUGCGUAGGCGGGUCUUUAAGUCAGGGGUGAAAUCCUGGAGCUCAACUCCAGAACUGCCUUUGAUACUGAAGAUCUUGAGUUCGGGAGAGGUGAGUGGAACUGCGAGUGUAGAGGUGAAAUUCGUAGAUAUUCGCAAGAACACCAGUGGCGAAGGCGGCUCACUGGCCCGAUACUGACGCUGAGGAGCGAAAGCUAGGGGAGCAAACAGG